Ribosomal RNA from Rhizoclosmatium globosum, 292 nucleotides. It matches the Rfam family "Eukaryotic large subunit ribosomal RNA", at positions 675 to 954 of the family's 3401-position model. The record is from Rfam. Lineage: Eukaryota; Fungi; Chytridiomycota; Chytridiomycetes; Chytridiales; Chytriomycetaceae.
UCUACAAAUGUGCAAUCUUUGGGUGUCAAACCUGAGGGCAAAAUGAAAGUAAAAGUAGGUGUGAUCUGCAAGGUGCAACAUUGACCGGACUGGAUUUUCUUGAAAGUUCUGAGUAUGAGUGUAUUUGCUGAGACCCGAAAGUAGGUGAACUAUACCUGAGUAGGGCAAAGUUAGAGGAAACUCUGAUAGAAGCUUUUAGCGGUUCUAGCGUAGCAAGGGGAGGAUAUUGUUGAGCGUAGGGGGUAGCAACAGCGGUGUUAAUGCUGUCGAGGGAGUGUUUGUCAGAAUCUGG